GCAAAUUCUUGGCUCAGAGGUUCCCCCAUGUCCUCUUCUACCAGCAUCCAUGCAAAAAGAACACGGGUCUUUGCACACUGCCACAUGCAGAGCAAAGACAGCACUGGGAGAGGCAGGGUGAUAAGAAGCCCAGUUUAAUGCUUUCUCACACCUAGAUUAAGGAGCAGUGCAGGCUCAAACUGAGACAAACCCCCAUCUUCUCCCCAAGACCAACUGUCUCCCUGAUGCCAAGAUUCUGUUCCUGUAUUUACUCUCUCAUUUUUGAAAGAAUUCGCAGAUGACAGAAAAGUGAAGUUAUUGGUCCCACUGCAGAUAGAAGCAUGUGAUUCUGCUGUCCGUGAAACAACAGCAUGGUUCUUCUGUAAUGGAGGAAGGAGUGACUGACAUUAGAACACCCAAGACAACAGGUCCAGAGAAGGAUUUGCCAAAGGAAUCUGGUAGUGACCAGUAAGAAUGAAGAGAGAAACAAACCUUUUCUGAUUAUAGAGAUGGACUUGGAAGAUCUGGCUCAGGGCUGGCAUUGGGUAACAUCAGAGACUCAGGUCUAAAACCACAUACUCGGCCCUUAACCCACGUCAUUCUCACAUCCAUAGCAAAGGUUCAUUGUUCUCUUUUGGUUUGGGUAUUUUUUCAGAGCUCUCAGUCGGGCUGUUACUUCCUCUUGCUUCUCUCAUCUCCCACAGCUGAACACUUUGGGCCACGCUGAUCCUGCCCAGUGGCCACUUCAGUCCAUUUUCUCCCAUUCUUGAAAUUUAUGGUCAUUUUUGCCUUAUUCGUUUGAUAAGAAAUGGAUAUUUGGAAUUCAAACAAAACUUUCUGACUCGGAUAUUCCACAGCGAGGCAAUAUCAGCAUGCACUGACAUCUAUAUUAGCAGCAAGGUGAAGGACUCUGUUUUGGAAGAAAAUCAAAGAGAACAAACAAACAUAACCCCCCCAAGGAAACAAAACUCACUGCUUUUGAAGUUAAAGCAAACACUGCUGUUUGCCAGUGACACACAUGCUUGCUGACCAGCAAACAGCCAGGAGAGAUG
RNAcentral lists this long non-coding RNA (1031 nucleotides) under Coturnix japonica (Japanese quail). RNAcentral describes it as "lncRNA (ENSCJPG00005007137.1)". The record is from RNAcentral. Lineage: Eukaryota; Metazoa; Chordata; Aves; Galliformes; Phasianidae.